This 262-nucleotide ribosomal RNA is filed under the name uncultured archaeon. RNAcentral's name for it is "partial 16S ribosomal RNA". It matches the Rfam family "Archaeal small subunit ribosomal RNA", at positions 748 to 1009 of the family's 1478-position model. The record is from RNAcentral.
CAGCCGUAAACAAUGUGCGUUAGGUGUGUCGGUAACCACGCGUUACUGAUGCGCCGAAGAGAAAUCGUGAAACGCACCACCUGGGAAGUACGGUCGCAAGGCUGAAACUUAAAGGAAUUGGCGGGGGAGCACCACAACAGGUGGAGCCUGCGGUUUAAUUGGAUUCAACGCCGGACAUCUCACCGGAUAAGACAGCUGAAUGAUUGCCGGGCUGAAGACCCUGCAUGACUAGCUGAGAGGUGGUGCAUGGGCGUCAGUGACU